This 86-nucleotide transfer RNA is filed under the name Planctomycetaceae bacterium. RNAcentral's name for it is "tRNA-Leu". It matches the Rfam family "tRNA". From Rfam's summary of the family: Transfer RNA (tRNA) molecules are approximately 80 nucleotides in length. Their secondary structure includes four short double-helical elements and three loops (D, anti-codon, and T loops). Further hydrogen bonds mediate the characteristic L-shaped molecular structure. tRNAs have two regions of fundamental functional importance: the anti-codon, which is responsible for specific mRNA codon recognition, and the 3' end, to which the tRNAs corresponding amino acid is attached (by aminoacyl-tRNA synthetases). tRNAs cope with the degeneracy of the genetic code in two manners: having more than one tRNA (with a specific anti-codon) for a particular amino acid; and 'wobble' base-pairing, i.e. permitting non-standard base-pairing at the 3rd anti-codon position. The record is from RNAcentral. Lineage: Bacteria; Pseudomonadati; Planctomycetota; Planctomycetia; Planctomycetales; Planctomycetaceae.
GGACCUGUGGCGGAAUUGGCAGACGCAGCGGCCUUAAAAGCCGCCGCCGUGAAAGCGGCGUGAGGGUUCGAGCCCCUCCGGGUCCA